RNAcentral lists this ribosomal RNA (689 nucleotides) under Hoplobatrachus tigerinus (Indus valley bullfrog). RNAcentral's name for it is "partial 12S rRNA". It matches the Rfam family "Bacterial small subunit ribosomal RNA", at positions 318 to 1389 of the family's 1533-position model. The record is from RNAcentral. Lineage: Eukaryota; Metazoa; Chordata; Amphibia; Anura; Dicroglossidae.
ACCUAGUCCCACCACACCCCCAAGGGUAUUCAGCAGUGAUAGAUAUUGUCUAUAAGCGCUAGCUUGACCCAGUUAUAGAGAAGAGAGCCGGCCAACUUGGUGCCAGCCGCCGCGGCUAGACCAACUGGACUCAAAUUGAUAAUCCUCGGCGUUAAGCGUGAUUAAAGCCAUGAACAAAUUAGAGUUAAACCUACGUUGAGCAGUGAAAAGCACACGAUAGGGAAAUCCAAAAACGAAAGUUAUUCUAAUCCUUGCUUGAAUACACGACAGCUAGGACACAAACUGGGAUUAGAUACCCCACUAUGCCUAGCCGUAAACUAUUAACCUACACCCACCCGCGCCAGGGAACUACGAGCUUUAGCUUAAAACCCAAAGGACUUGACGGUGUCCCACCCAACUAGAGGAGCCUGUUCUAUAAUCGAUGACCCCCGCUCCACCCAACCCCCCCUUGCUUUAUCAGCCUGUAUACCUCCGUCGUAAACCCGCCGUAUGAAUGUACCCAAGCGGAUUUAAUGGUCCCACACCAACACGUCAGGUCAAGGUGCAGCCAAUGGGAGAGGUAAGUGAUGGGCUACAAUUUCUAGUCUAGAACAAACGAAAUUCUGCAUGAAACACAGUUAUGAAGGAGGAUUUAGUAGUAAAAAGAAAGUAGCGUGUUCUUUUUAACAUGGCCCUGGGACGUGUACACA